RNAcentral lists this unclassified non-coding RNA (224 nucleotides) under Hevea brasiliensis (rubber tree). Lineage: Eukaryota; Viridiplantae; Streptophyta; Magnoliopsida; Malpighiales; Euphorbiaceae. The record is from RNAcentral.
GAGAUUUGUUGCAACUGGAAGCGCGGAUAUGUCAAUAAAGCUGUUUGAGGUGGCAAAGAUCAAGCAGAUGAUGCUGCCAGAUGCGAAAGAUGGUCCUGUCCGACCUGUUAUAAGGACAUUUUAUGAUCACAUUCAACCAAUAAAUGAUUUAGAUUUUCAUCCUCAGAAUACUGUUCUUAUAUCUGGUGCAAAAGAUCACACCAUAAAGUUCUUUGACUUCUCCA